Non-coding RNA from Heterocephalus glaber (naked mole-rat), 974 nucleotides. NCBI's taxonomy places the organism in Eukaryota, Metazoa, Chordata, Mammalia, Rodentia, Bathyergidae. The record is from RefSeq and is a predicted model, not a curated record.
AUUUCUAGUUGCAAUUCUCUGUCUGUCCCUUGGCUCUGGGGAGGGAAAGGGGGAGCUGGGGCGACAGGGGCUGGGAGGGGCUAAGGGGCGACCCUCACUCUUUCUUUUCGCUAAGUGAGGGUCCUGAGCGCCGCCAACGGGGUUGAGGAAAUGCUGUGGGCCGAGGCACACCCAGGAGCGCAGGAACUGGAGGAAGGAAGAAUCAACGCCAGGAACCCAAGGCCCUCUCUUUCUAGUUCCCCGGCUUGCCCGGCCGCGCUCGCCACUCCCUCUUAGCACCGGCUCCGUCCCUGACCGUUCCGGGGCCUGGCAGCCUGGCCCUCUGUCCCAAGCACUUGGAUGCUCUCUCUCUGGAUCACUGCCUCAGCCCCUGCUUUGGGGACGAUGGAUCCAUCUCCUGCUCUCCCCGAGCAGCUCUUGAUCAGGUGUCUGCACGCUCAAAGGCACCCUCCCCGCUCCUCUCCCCGAGGGCCGAGUGUGAGAAGGACAAACUUUUGAGUGGAUGAAAAUCAAGAGGAGCCAGUCCGGGAGCAGGGUUGAUGGAGUGACAAGUGUGGCAAGGCUUUCCUAACCCUGUAGUGCGAAACUGAUUUUAAGCAGGGGGAGACAGCCUCCUCUCUGGGCCCUUGAGAUGAAGUCCCAAGCUGAGAAGAGUUGAGAAAGGAUGUCUUGAAGGAGCUGGGCUGGCCCAGGACAGAACCCUCUUCUGAGGGGCAGUUUGAUGCCACAUGCCUACUGCAGAGAAACCAUUCAGAAACAAAGGAAGACAGAGAGAAGACCUAGGAAAACGGCACAAAGAACUGGAAAAAUCCAGAACAACAGAGAAGAGAUUGGGAGAGGAAAAGACCUGAGAAAGUACUGGAGCCAGAGGAAGGUGUGGGGAGGAAGAUGGGUAGGAAAGGAAUAUGGAGAGAGGGCAGAAGGAAGGGGCAGGACUCUUUUUUUUUUUCUUAAGUGAAGGAUAAAAACAGGAA